This 1845-nucleotide long non-coding RNA is filed under the name Ananas comosus (pineapple). RNAcentral describes it as "long non-coding RNA (ACOM_LNC043983)". Lineage: Eukaryota; Viridiplantae; Streptophyta; Magnoliopsida; Poales; Bromeliaceae. The record is from RNAcentral.
CCCCGGGAGGCCGAGGCGACGUCCACAAAUUGUGAGAGCGGGUCCCGAGCACCGUAGCGGCAAGGCGAAGGUCGCCGACACUCGAAACAGCGAAGCGACGCGCUCUUGGGGAGCCACUGUAAGAUCGGGCCCAAGCGGGUGCCGAGUGCCGCGGGAGGCGGAUUGCAAGUGUCGACGAGCAAUCGGAAAGCUACUUAAGGUGGGUUGUGCUUACCGAAGCGACUAGGUCCCCCUUUAUGUCUUAGCAAUAUAAUCACUUGUUGAUGCAUGUGCAUGUAGACAUGAGUGAAAUAAGGAAUGCAUAUUAGAUAAGAUGCAAGGAUGAAAUGCUAAGUAGAAGGCAUAAUGAAUGUAGCAUGUGUAUAAUGCUAGUUAAGAUAAAGAAUGCAAAGUAGCAUCUUGAAAGCUAAGUAGAUAAUAAUGAUAACUCUAGUGUGAGUAGAGUUGAUUGGACAACUAGGUUGUCAGGUAGAUCGAGUGGCAUCUAACCUAGUGUUAAAGAACAUAGAUUGAGUAGUAAACCUAGAGUCGAACAAUCUAGGUGUGUGGCAUCGAACCUAGCGUUAGUAAACCUAGGUCGAACUAGUAAACCUAGAAAUGGACAUCUAGGCAAAGAGGACAAGAACCUAGCAAGUGUACCUAGGUUAAGUGACAUGGACAUAGAACCUAGAGUGUUGGAACCUAGGUUGAUGAGUAUAGUGGUAUAGCCACUAGAUUGAGCUAGGUCGACAGUAUAGGGUUGGCUAUGAACCCUCGACCUGUGGUAAGUGGAUUCCGGAAUCCCAGGACUUAUGAUGUCCCUGGUACAGGCUAGGGCGUUCGUGCGACGAUUUCGCCGCCGAGCUUGGUACCGUGGGUAGAUUGGGGGCGAUCACAUGGAGAUCACCGCCCGGGGCUUGAACCAUUGUGCUGGCGUUUGUGCGACGAUUUCGCCGCCAGAGUGGUUAAGCCAUUUGAGGAUCAGACCGCCAGAGUAGACUGAAUCCAUGCUGGGUAAGUACGAUGCGGGUGCCUCCAGGUGACUGAGUCUGACAUGAUCGUUGUUGGGUGUGGUGCGACCCGUUCGCCGCCAGACGGUAUGUCAUGUCUCGAGCUCACGCUGGGUAUGUGCAACGCGAUCGCCACCGAUGGUCAAGUCUUGUGACUCGAGCCGUAUUCAGCGUGUGCGACGAUUUCGCCGCUAGGAGGCUGAGUCAGAGAGAGUGCGGUAGGCUGUUGAGCAGCCAGUGCGCGGACUAUCCGCAGAUGAUUGACUCGAAGCCGAGUCGGGUGGUUAGCUAUGAUAAGGUAGAGGAACCCUUAUGGCUAGAGAUAGAGGCUUGAGCCAAGGUAAAUAGAAACCUUAGGGUAAAGAUGUAAGCUAAAGUAGCCAAGUAAAAGUAGAAUUUAAAUGAUCUACUAGUUGUUGCAUGAUUUUCAUAUCGCAUAUUGUUAGGCCUAACAUGUAUUUCAAUUGAAUAUAUAUAUGCAUUGUAUAUUGUUGAACUGACAUGUUGCAGGGCCUACUUAGACCUAUCGGUCGAGCUUUUCCCUUGGGUGGCCGUACCCACUGGGAACCAUGGAGUUGGUUCUCACCCCACGUUGUUUUGGGGUUUUCAGGUCGUUCGUGUGCGGCGCAGCGGCGCGAGGCGAGGGCGUAGCUCAGUAGAUAGCGCCCCACCACAGAGACCGAGGUAGCAGUACCCUGAGGCAGUCUAGCUUAGGGGUCGAGAAGGCGAGAAUCAAGAUGUACUAAACUUGUAAAAUAGAUGAUGUAAUACAUUGUGAUUGUAAUCGGAAGUAAAAUGUAAACUGAGAUGUGUUUAAAUGAAUGCUCGUAAUAGCAAGUAGAUUAUGUAUUUGAUA